UUCAGAUUUCAGACUUCUUCCUGUCAUCUUCACUUCAGCUUCUGCCCAAGACUCUCCAACUCCAGCUCCAACCCCAACACCUGGUCUUGAUGCUGUUGCAGCACCACACUGAUGAUGAAAUAUCAUUGUUUUAGAGGUCUGCUGUACUUAAUAAAGAUGUAUUUUUGUGGACUAAAAAUGUAAGAAGAUGAAUCAGUAUGAAACUUACAGUGGCUUGCAAAAGUAUUCAUUCCCAUGAACCGUUUCACAUUUUGUCACCUUACAACCACAAAUUUAAAUGUAUUUUAUUGAGAUUUUAGGUGAUAGACCAACACAAAGUAGCACAUCAUUGUGAAGUGGAACACAAAUUAUACAUGGUUUUCAAAAUUUUAAUCAAACAAAAAUCUACCUCAGUACCUUAUUUUUCGCACUAUAAGGCGCACAAUCAAGGAAAGUCUAAUUUUGGUUUAUUUUCAUUCACAUUUUAAGAGACACUAUAAGGAACUUUUAAUUCAGCAGGUCUCGUCGCUGGGUGGUGGUGCAGAGUAGCUAACUAAGUUAAAUAAAGCUUAGCUAAGUUAACAAAACUAUAAUAAAAAAAACUUUCUUUUAAAGUCAAACGAGCGCUGGAUGUAAAUUUACACAGAUUUCUAUCCGCUUCCGUUUAUUUACAGUAAGCUUAGAUUUCCUGAAUUUCUUCAGCACUAUGCAUUAGCAGCUAACCGCUAGUGGCUAAUGCCACCUGACAGCACUACAUUGAGAAACCCUAAGUGUUCUGGUAAGCCAUGGUGAUAUUAGCUAGAGGUUCGUGCAACGUAACUAAUGCUAAUACUGCUCCAGUCUCAGUGCUGGAGAACUAAACUGAAACUCCUGUAUAACUCUGUACUAGGGGUGGGUGAUAUGGCUCUAAAAUAAUUGCGAUAACGAUAUACUUGGCGAUAUAGGAAAACAGAAAAAUAAUUCAUUCAUUUCAGGAAUAUAGUAUAAUAGUAUAACAGUACAAUCAUAAUGUGGCAAAAUAAAUAAUCUAGCAUAAAAUAAUAUAAUGCAGCAAAAAAUAUUGCAGAAUAUUUUCAUGCAUACAAACUGCAAACUAAAACAAUUAUACAAUAAAUACACCUAAAGCUUCACAGUAAAUAAUAGACUACUUUUAAGUCAAACCAUCCCUAUUAUCACAAUAUGGAUUUUUAAUAUCAUGAUAUUUCUGUGUCACGAUAUUUUGUAUACGAUAUACUAUUGCCCACCCCUACUCUGUACUUCAGUGGAGUGGCUUUACUGCUCCUUAAUACCUGACUGAUAGAAUUCAUACAUAAGGAGCACCAAAUUAUAAGGAACACAGAUGAUUUUUUGGGAAAAUUAAAGGAUUUUAAGUGCACCUUAUUUGCAUCUUACCUUGUAUUUGUAUGUAUGUCACGUGUGAUUGUAUGUGUUAAUAAAGGUCCAUUCAAUUUA
Long non-coding RNA from Astyanax mexicanus (Mexican tetra), 1431 nucleotides. RefSeq lists it as uncharacterized. The record is from RefSeq and is a predicted model, not a curated record. Lineage: Eukaryota; Metazoa; Chordata; Actinopteri; Characiformes; Acestrorhamphidae. The transcript is spliced from 2 exons.